CGGCAACAGCUCAAAUUUGAAAUCUGGCCCUUUCAGGGUCCGAGGUGUAAUUUGUAGAGGAUGCUUCGGCGUUGGGCCCGUGCUGAGUUCCUUGGAACAGGACGUCAUAGAGGGUGAGAACCCCGUCUUUGCUCGGGAUACCAUUGCCAUGUGAAGCUCCUUCGAC
This 166-nucleotide ribosomal RNA is filed under the name Phaeococcomycetaceae sp. RNAcentral describes it as "partial large subunit ribosomal RNA". It matches the Rfam family "Eukaryotic large subunit ribosomal RNA", at positions 99 to 261 of the family's 3401-position model. The record is from RNAcentral. Lineage: Eukaryota; Fungi; Ascomycota; Arthoniomycetes; Lichenostigmatales; Phaeococcomycetaceae.